This 593-nucleotide ribosomal RNA is filed under the name uncultured Deferribacter sp. RNAcentral describes it as "bacterial SSU rRNA". It matches the Rfam family "Bacterial small subunit ribosomal RNA", at positions 1 to 595 of the family's 1533-position model. The record is from RNAcentral. Lineage: Bacteria; Pseudomonadati; Deferribacterota; Deferribacteres; Deferribacterales; Deferribacteraceae.
UUCGAUUAGAGUUUGAUCAUGGCUCAGAAUGAACGCUGGCGGCGUGCUUUACACAUGCAAGUCGAGCGAGGCGGGUAGCAAUACCCAGUCGAGCGGCGAACGGGUGAGUAACGCGUGGAUUAUCUGCCCUGAGGUGGGGGAUAACCCGGGGAAACUCGGGCUAAUACCGCAUAUGACCGUGAGGUCAAAGGGGGGUCGCAAGAUCUCUCGCCAUAGGAGGAGUCCGCGUCCGAUUAGCUAGUUGGUAGGGUAAUGGCCUACCAAGGCGACGAUCGGUAGCCGGCCUGAGAGGGUGAUCGGCCACACUGGAACUGAGACACGGUCCAGACUCCUACGGGAGGCAGCAGUGGGGAAUUUUGCGCAAUGGGCUAACGCCUGACGCAGCAACGCCGCGUGGAGGAUGAAGGUCCUUGGAUUGUAAACUCCUGUCAGCAGGGAAAAAGCGAAUCGGCCUAAUACGCCGGUGAGUUGAUUGUACCUGCAGAGGAAGCCCCGGCUAACUCUGUGCCAGCAGCCGCGGUAAUACGAAUCACUAGUGAAUUCGCGGCCGCCUGCAGGUCGACCAUAUGGGAGAGCUCCCACGCGUUGGAUGC